GACGAACGCUGGCGGCGUGCUUAACACAUGCAAGUCGAACGGAAAGGCCCUGCUUGCAGGGUACUCGAGUGGCGAACGGGUGAGUAACACGUGGGUGAUCUGCCCUGCACUUCGGGAUAAGCCUGGGAAACUGGGUCUAAUACCGGAUAGGAGCCAUUUUUAGUGUGAUGGUUGGAAAGUUUUUUCGGUGUAGGAUGAGCUCGCGGCCUAUCAGCUUGUUGGUGGGGUAAUGGCCUACCUAGGCGGCGACGGGUAGCCGGCCUGAGAGGGUGGACGGCCACAUUGGGACUGAGAUACGGCCCAGACUCCUACGGGAGGCAGCAGUGGGGAAUAUUGCACAAUGGGCGCAAGCCUGAUGCAGCGACGCCGCGUGGGGGAUGACGGCCUUCGGGUUGUAAACUCCUUUCGCUAGGGACGAAGCUUUUUGUGACGGUACCUAGAUAAGAAGCACCGGCUAACUACGUG
Molecule: ribosomal RNA, 465 nt
Filed under: uncultured bacterium
Lineage: Bacteria
Description: partial 16S ribosomal RNA
Rfam family: Bacterial small subunit ribosomal RNA
Source: RNAcentral